This is a non-coding RNA of Monopterus albus (swamp eel), 82 nucleotides long. The record is from the annotation of a RefSeq genome assembly. Lineage: Eukaryota; Metazoa; Chordata; Actinopteri; Synbranchiformes; Synbranchidae.
GCUGUGAUGGCCGAGUGGUUAAGGCGUUGGAUUCGAAAUCCAAUGGGUUCAGCCCGCGUAGGUUCAAAUCCUACUCACAGCG